This 390-nucleotide ribosomal RNA is filed under the name Batrachyla nibaldoi (Nibaldo's wood frog). RNAcentral's name for it is "partial 12S ribosomal RNA". It matches the Rfam family "Bacterial small subunit ribosomal RNA", at positions 797 to 1397 of the family's 1533-position model. The record is from RNAcentral. Lineage: Eukaryota; Metazoa; Chordata; Amphibia; Anura; Batrachylidae.
UAGUCGUAAACCUUUUAACUACCCACUAAACCGCCAGGGAAACUACAAGCCCAAGCUUAAAACCCAAAGGACUUGACGGUGCCCCAACCCACCUAGAGGNGCCUGUCCUUUAAUCGAUGAUCCACGUUAAACCUCACCACUUCUGGCCCAUCCGCCUGUAUACCUCCGUCGUCAGCUUACCGCGUGAGCGAUUUAGUGACCCUAAUGCCUAAACCCGCCAACACGUCAGGUCAAGGUGCAACAAAUGAAGUGGGAAGUGAUGGGCUACAUUUUCUAUUAUAGAAUAUACGAGAGACAAAUAUGAAACUUUGUCGGAGGGUGGAUUUAGAAGUAAAAAGAAACAAGAGAGUUCUUUUUAAUAAGGCACAGGGGCAUGUACACACCGCCCGU